Molecule: ribosomal RNA, 471 nt
Filed under: uncultured bacterium
Lineage: Bacteria
Description: bacterial SSU rRNA
Rfam family: Bacterial small subunit ribosomal RNA
Source: RNAcentral
GCAAGUCGAACGAAGUAGCAAUACUUAGUGGCAGACGGGUGAGUAACAUGUGGGUAUCUGCCCUUUGGCCUGGAAUAACACGAGGAAACUUGUGCUAAUACCGGAUAAGUCUUUACGGAGAAAGCUUUAUGCACCAUUGGAUGAGCCUGCACUUGAUUAGUUUGUUGGUGGGGUAAUGGCCUACCAAGACUGUGAUCAAUAGCUGAUUUGAGAGGAUGAUCAGCCACAUUGGGACUGAGACACGGCCCAAACUCCUACGGGAGGCAGCAGUAGGGAAUCUUGCACAAUGGAGGAAACUCUGAUGCAGCGAUGCCGCGUGAGUGAAGAAGGCCCUUGGGUUGUAAAGCUCUUUCGUCGGGGAAGAAAAUGACUGUACCCGAAUAAGAAGGUCCGGCUAACUUCGUGCCAGCAGCCGCGGUAAUACGAAGGGACCUAGCGUAGUUCGGAAUUACUGGGCUUAAAGAGUUCGUA